GCUUUAAUUGCUGCCUGACGUGCCUCCUCCUUCAGAGACAAGCAGGACCUUGACAUCCUCCAGCGCUGAUGCCAAAAAGGGAAGACAGUUUCAAGCUUGCCUGUUUCUCCAAAGAAAGGGUGCAGGAGGAUCUGCAAAAGUAGUUGGUAAACAUUUAUUUGGAUUCAUAAAACACUGACACUGAGCAGCACUCAAACGACUUGAUAAGAGCUGAUGACUUCUCCCACCCUACAUGUCCCCAGAUCAAUUCUUCUGCUGGUAUGUCCUUCUGAACUGCCCCAGGAUGGAUCCCACCAUAAUCCAGGCUAUCAAACA
RNAcentral lists this long non-coding RNA (315 nucleotides) under Calidris pugnax (ruff). RNAcentral describes it as "lncRNA (ENSCPUG00000015694.1)". Lineage: Eukaryota; Metazoa; Chordata; Aves; Charadriiformes; Scolopacidae. The record is from RNAcentral.